ACUCUAUGGCGUUUCCACCCCGUGGUGCGCGUAGCGCGUAGUUUGCCUCCAUUUUGUCUUCUGAUUGAUUGGGCUGAGAUCUUUGAUGCCGAUUCAAGUUUUCGUCUAAAUUUUGUUGAUAUACAGUGAUGAAUGGCCAAUUCUCUUAAGUUUAAAUGAAGUUUUAACAAUUAACUUGUUAUAUUUAUCAUAAGCUAUGGUAAAUAUGUCUAGAUACGGGGAUUGCAAAGUUUAUGUUGGUGACCUGGGCAAUAAUGCAAGCAAACCAGAGCUUGAAGAUGCCUUCUCAUACUACGGUCCUUUGAGAAAUGUUUGGGUGGCGAGAAAUCCACCCGGCUUUGCGUUUGUGGAGUUUGAAGACCCUCGCGACGCUGAAGAUGCUAUUCGUGGGCUAGACGGAAGGACAAUAUGUGGACGUCGCGCGCGCGUUGAAAUGUCCAAUGGAAGCCGUGGCUAUGGAGGAAGAGGGCCGCCUCCGCGCUCUCGUCUGCCUCCGCGGCCCUAUGACGACCGCUGCUAUGACUGCGGGGAUAGAGGACACUAUGCUCGUGACUGCACAAGACGCCGCCGGCGCAGGUUAUCAUUGGCCUGUGCGCCGAGAACGAACUCGUCAGUGUCUGCACUUCUUAUUGUCUGCGCUACGUAGCUUUCACUUCGCGGCGUGUACACCGAUAUUGUUGGCCGCUUCGGUAACUUCGCUCUUCGCGAACGACAUGCCUACGUGCACACUUCACUAGUCGAGAACUACAUUGAACAAAAAUGUUCAAUCGGCGCGUCGCACAUCUAAUGUAAUCACUGCGUGCACUCACCGCUCGAGGUCCCGCCGCCGCUCCCGCUCCCGCUCGCCGCGCUCGGGCUCGCGCUCCCGCAGCCGCUCCCGUUCCCGCUCCCGCUCCAAGGGGAGAUCCAUGUCGCGCUCAAGAUCACGUUCACCAUCCAAAGAUUCUAAAAAGUCCAACUAGGCUGAACUAGCCCAUUUCAAGUUACUAUACAUGUUAACUUUAAUGACUGCAAGAUAUGUAUUACAGCCUUGAACAAGAAUAUUUUAAGUACAUUGAUAUUCAUUUUAAGAAAUAUCAUUCCUGUCUACAUAAAGUUAGGCGAUAACAUUUAAAUACAAUAGAAGAAUUUGUUGAU
RNA transcript from Ostrinia furnacalis (Asian corn borer), 1137 nucleotides. It is a transcript of the gene named serine/arginine-rich splicing factor 7, with no coding region annotated. NCBI's taxonomy places the organism in Eukaryota, Metazoa, Arthropoda, Insecta, Lepidoptera, Crambidae. The transcript is spliced from 5 exons. The record is from RefSeq and is a predicted model, not a curated record.